GCCUAUUGUAGCUCAGGGGCAGAGCCACAGACUGAAGAUCUGUUUGUCAACGGUUCGAGUCCGUUUUUAGGCG
Molecule: transfer RNA, 73 nt
Filed under: Candidatus Hodgkinia cicadicola
Lineage: Bacteria; Pseudomonadati; Pseudomonadota; Alphaproteobacteria; Hyphomicrobiales
Description: tRNA-Phe
Rfam family: tRNA
About the family: Transfer RNA (tRNA) molecules are approximately 80 nucleotides in length. Their secondary structure includes four short double-helical elements and three loops (D, anti-codon, and T loops).
Source: RNAcentral